This 466-nucleotide ribosomal RNA is filed under the name uncultured Exiguobacterium sp. RNAcentral's name for it is "bacterial SSU rRNA". It matches the Rfam family "Bacterial small subunit ribosomal RNA", at positions 337 to 795 of the family's 1533-position model. Lineage: Bacteria; Bacillati; Bacillota; Bacilli; Caryophanales. The record is from RNAcentral.
GCCUACGGGAGGCAGCAGUAGGGAAUCUUCCACAAUGGACGAAAGUCUGAUGGAGCAACGCCGCGUGAACGAUGAAGGCUUUCGGGUCGUAAAGUUCUGUUGUAAGGGAAGAACAAGUGCCGCAGGCAAAGGCGGCACCUUGACGGUACCUUGCGAGAAAGCCACGGCUCACUACGUGCCAGCAGCCGCGGUAAUACGUAGGUGGCAAGCGUUGUCCGGAAUUAUUGGGGGUAAAGCGCGCGCAGGCGGCCUCUUAAGUCUGAUGGAAAAGCCCCCGGCGCAACCGGGGAGUGCCAUUGGAAACUGGGAGGCUUGAGUAUAGGAGAGAAGAGUGGAAUUCCACGUGUAGCGGUGAAAUGCGUAGAGAUGUGGAGGAACACCAGUGGCGAAGGCGACUCUUUGGCCUAUAACUGACGCUGAGGCGCGAAAGCGUGGGGAGCAAACAGGAUUAGAUACCCCGGUAGUC